CCGUACGCGAAAAACUUAUUUUCCCUAAAAUUAUUUGCCUCUGUUUUAGUUUUCUUUCUACCUAGGUUUCUCUUUUCUAUCCUGAACCGGCGUUGCUCCACACUCUACUCUCUGUGGCUAAAUUGAUCGUUGAAGGGUACCACUUUUGGUGCAUCCAACCUUGAAAUCCUUCUCGGCCACGAUUGAAUAAUAUUGUGCUGGUGGGUAUUGGAAUUCUAUGAAGGAUAAAUUAUUACAAACAAUUGUUUAAAUUGGGGCAUGCCUUGUUAAUUUGGAGAGAUGAUCAACAACCACCAAGACUCCAUCAGAUUUUCUCUCAAGUCCAUUCGUGGACGACCUGUUGUUAAAUUGAGCUUUGGCAUUGAUUAUCGACGCAGAAGGUGUGGUGUAUUUCCUAGCUAUCUAAUAAAAGUUGUCUUGAAUGUGUGUUACUUUGGAAGCUGAAGCCAAAGCCAAUUAGUACAUUUUCAGAUGAUGUGGUUUAGUCAACAUCUUGAGGACAAUAGAUGAUCAAAUGGAGUGUGUACCAUAUUGUAGGAAAGUGAUUUGUUUUUCAUCUGUUGAAUUGUGAGUACUUACAAGCAUAUGUACUUAGUGAAUCAAUUAUGAAUAAGAGAUUGACCAAUAAGUUUAGUAACUUCAACACUUCAUAUGGGUUUUAAAGAUGUUGGUUCCUGAUUUUGGGUUAAAAUAAGGAGUUUUACUGCAAAGA
Molecule: long non-coding RNA, 712 nt
Organism: Solanum dulcamara
Lineage: Eukaryota; Viridiplantae; Streptophyta; Magnoliopsida; Solanales; Solanaceae
Exons: 6
Source: RefSeq, a predicted model, not a curated record